RNAcentral lists this ribosomal RNA (330 nucleotides) under uncultured Lachnospiraceae bacterium. RNAcentral describes it as "bacterial SSU rRNA". It matches the Rfam family "Bacterial small subunit ribosomal RNA", at positions 28 to 339 of the family's 1533-position model. Lineage: Bacteria; Bacillati; Bacillota; Clostridia; Lachnospirales; Lachnospiraceae. The record is from RNAcentral.
GAUGAACGCUGGCGGCGUGCUUAACACAUGCAAGUCGAACGAGGUUAUGGCAGCGGAAGUUUUCGGAUGGAAGCAGCCUUAACCGAGUGGCGGACGGGUGAGUAACGCGUGGGGAACCUGCCCCAUUCCGGGGGAUACCAGUUGGAAACGACUGUUAAUACCGCAUAAGCGCACAGUACCGCAUGGUACGGUGUGAAAAACUCCGGUGGAAUGGGAUGGCCCCGCGUCUGAUUAGGCAGUUGGCGGGGUAACGGCCCACCAAACCGACGAUCAGUAGCCGACCUGAGAGGGUGACCGGCCACAUUGGGACUGAGACACGGCCCAAACUCC